UGGGGAAUCUUCCGCAAUGGACGAAAGUCUGACGGAGCAACGCCGCGUGAGUGAUGACGGCCUUCGGGUUGUAAAGCUCUGUUAAUCGGGACGAAUGGUUCUUGUGCGAAUAGUGCAAGGAUUUGACGGUACCGGAAUAGAAAGCCACGGCUAACUACGUGCCAGCAGCCGCGGUAAUACGUAGGUGGCAAGCGUUGUCCGGAAUUAUUGGGCGUAAAGUGCGCGCAGGCGGAUUGGUCAGUCUGUCUUAAAAGUUCGGGGCUUAACCCCGUGAUGGGAUGGAAACUGCCAAUCUAGAGUAUCGGAGAGGAAAGUGGAAUUCCUAGUGUAGCGGAGAAAUGCGUAGAUAUUAGGAAGAACACCAGUGGCGAAGGCGACUUUCUGGACGAAAACUGACGCUGAGGCGCGAAAGCCAGGGGAGCGAACGGG
RNAcentral lists this ribosomal RNA (429 nucleotides) under bacterium. Its description in RNAcentral is "partial 16S ribosomal RNA". It matches the Rfam family "Bacterial small subunit ribosomal RNA", at positions 355 to 776 of the family's 1533-position model. The record is from RNAcentral.